This 774-nucleotide long non-coding RNA is filed under the name Athene cunicularia (burrowing owl). RNAcentral describes it as "lncRNA (ENSACUG00000009184.1)". Lineage: Eukaryota; Metazoa; Chordata; Aves; Strigiformes; Strigidae. The record is from RNAcentral.
CAAAUUUGGCUCAAUGGCUGUGAGCAGAAGCCUCACAGACGACAAGGAGAAGGAUGUGUUUCCAGCUAGGCUGCAGCGGCUGCACGAUUUGCUCUGUUGUCUCCAGACGAGAAGGCUGACGCUGGAGACGCGAUAGCAGAGGCAGAUGGAACCCUCGUGCUGCCUCUCGGAGCUUGUCAGUAGAUGCUCUUCCCACAUGGUUGCCAGAGAGAAAGGAGCACCCCUGGGCCAUGCUGUGUGCCCGUCUCGGCGCGAGCGAGGGCGGCGGCAGCUUUAGAUCCCCUUGUCCCCGCCGUGUGUCCAGCCAGGAGUCGUGCACGUCGGGAAGGAGGCAGUGACCGGGGCACCAGGAAACCUGUCUCUCCUCUGUGCCUGUUCUGCAGAUUCCUGCUGGGGGCAAGGAGUGUCAGAACAGAAAGCGGGAGCUCGAGCCCGGGCCGGAGCCUGGGUGGCGCGGCGGCCAGCAGAGCACUUGUCCCAGCACCAGUGUUUCCUGGGCUCAGUGCACAAAGACGACGACAACAAUCCUGUUAUGCAGGGGAUUAAGUCUUCACCAGCCUGACCACUGUCAGGUAUCCCGUGUGCCAGCCCACAGCGAGGUUUCUGAUCCUUCCCCCCUUCCCAUCUGAAACAGGUAUGAAGUGACCAGCUUUGUGAGCUCCCACUGAACUCUGGUAAGUCCCCAUCACCUCACCUGGACGGUUUUGGGUUCUAAACACUGAUUUUUAUGAUUUUGAAAUGCUACUUUUUAAAUGGGGGAGAUACUGAGACUCG